GACGAACGCUGGCGGCGUGCUUAACACAUGCAAGUCGAACGGAAAGGCCCUGCUUUUGUGGGGUGCUCGAGUGGCGAACGGGUGAGUAACACGUGUGUAACCUGCCCUUGACUUUGGGAUAACUUCUGGAAACUGGGGCUAAUACCGGAUAGGAUCUCCUGCUGCAUGGUGGUGUUUGGUAAGUUUCGGCGGUUGGGGAUGGACUCGCGGCUUAUCAGCUUGUUGGUGGGGUAGUGGCUUACCAAGGCUUUGACGGGUAGCCGGCCUGAGAGGGUGACCGGCCACAUUGGGACUGAGAUAGGGCCCAGACUCCAACGGGAGGCAGCAGUGGGGAAUAUUGCACAAUGGGCGGAAGCCUGAUGCAGCAACGCCGCGUGCGGGAUGACGGCCUUCGGGUUGUAAACCGCUUUCGCCUGUGACGAAGCGUGAGUGACGGUAAUGGGUAAAGAAGCACCGGCUAACUACGUG
This 468-nucleotide ribosomal RNA is filed under the name uncultured bacterium. Its description in RNAcentral is "partial 16S ribosomal RNA". It matches the Rfam family "Bacterial small subunit ribosomal RNA", at positions 28 to 507 of the family's 1533-position model. The record is from RNAcentral.